Molecule: small nuclear RNA, 115 nt
Filed under: Octodon degus (degu)
Lineage: Eukaryota; Metazoa; Chordata; Mammalia; Rodentia; Octodontidae
Description: U4 spliceosomal RNA (ENSODEG00000025081.1)
Rfam family: U4 spliceosomal RNA
About the family: U4 small nuclear RNA (U4 snRNA) is a component of the major U2-dependent spliceosome. The structure of U4 snRNA from yeast and human has been reported.
Source: RNAcentral
AGCUUUACGCAGCAGCAAUAUUGUAGCCAAUGAGGUUUAUCUGAGGAGCAAUUAUUGCUAAAUGAAAUCAAAUCUUGAAGAAGUAUUUGUGCAAUUUUUCAUUUCAUAUUCUUGG